AUUCCAGCUCCAAUAGCGUAUAUUAAAGUUGUUGCAGUUAAAAAGCUCGUAGUUGAAUUUUUGGUGGUUCCUGGGGUCCAAAUUGUUUUGGUACCUUGGGCACUGUCAUCCUUGGGUGGAACCUGCGAAGCAUUAGGUUGUUUUGUGGGGGAUGCCCAUCAUUUACUGUGAAAAAAUUAGAGUGUUCAAAGCAGGCUUAUGCCAUUGAAUAGAUUAGCAUGGAAUAAUGAGAUAGGACUUGGGUACUAUUUUGUUGGUUUGUGCACCAGAGUAAUGAUUAAUAGGGACAGUUGGGGGUAUUCGUAUUCCAUUGUCAGAGGUGAAAUUCUUGGAUUUCUGGAAGACGAACUACUGCGAAAGCAUUUACCAAGGAUGUU
This 377-nucleotide ribosomal RNA is filed under the name Pinnularia neomajor var. inflata. RNAcentral describes it as "bacterial SSU rRNA". It matches the Rfam family "Eukaryotic small subunit ribosomal RNA", at positions 582 to 968 of the family's 1831-position model. The record is from RNAcentral. Lineage: Eukaryota; Bacillariophyta; Bacillariophyceae; Sellaphorales; Pinnulariaceae.